Molecule: non-coding RNA, 46 nt
Organism: Schistosoma rodhaini
Lineage: Eukaryota; Metazoa; Platyhelminthes; Trematoda; Strigeidida; Schistosomatidae
Source: Rfam
GCACUGCUGAGGAGUCCCAUACUAGGACGAAAAGGCCAUCCAGUGC